Molecule: ribosomal RNA, 703 nt
Filed under: Bacteroidetes bacterium IP-46A
Lineage: Bacteria; Pseudomonadati; Bacteroidota
Description: bacterial SSU rRNA
Rfam family: Bacterial small subunit ribosomal RNA
Source: RNAcentral
CCCCGUAACAUUAUGAAGUGGCAUCACUUUAUAAUUAUAGCUCCGGCGUUUAAAGAUGGGUGUGCGGCUGAUUAGGUAGUUGGCGGGGUAACGGCCCACCAAGCCUGCGAUCAGUAACUGGUGUGAGAGCACGACCAGUCACACGGGCACUGAGACACGGGCCCGACUCCUACGGGAGGCAGCAGUAAGGAAUAUUGGGCAAUGGACGCAAGUCUGACCCAGCCAUGCCGCGUGGAGGAUGAAGGCCCUCUGGGUUGUAAACUUCUUUUCUCUGGGGCGAAAAACAGGUUUUCUAACUUGCUUGACAGUACCAGAGGAAUAAGCACCGGCUAACUCCGUGCCAGCAGCCGCGGUAAUACGGAGGGUGCAAGCGUUAUCCGGAUUCACUGGGUUUAAAGGGUGCGUAGGUGGGGAGGUAAGUCAGCGGUGAAAUCCCCGAGCUUAACUUGGGAACUGCCAUUGAUACUAUCUCUCUUGAAUACCUUGGAGGUGAGCGGAAUAUGUCAUGUAGCGGUGAAAUGCUUAGAUAUGACAUAGAACACCAAUUGCGAAGGCAGCUCACUACACGGUCAUUGACACUGAGGCACGAAAGCGUGGGGAUCAAACAGGAUUAGAUACCCUGGUAGUCCACGCCCUAAACGAUGGAUACUCGACAUCAGCGAUACACUGUUGGUGUCUGAGCGAAAGCAUUAAGUAUCCCACC